RNAcentral lists this ribosomal RNA (468 nucleotides) under uncultured bacterium. RNAcentral describes it as "partial 16S ribosomal RNA". It matches the Rfam family "Bacterial small subunit ribosomal RNA", at positions 28 to 507 of the family's 1533-position model. The record is from RNAcentral.
GACGAACGCUGGCGGCGUGCUUAACACAUGCAAGUCGAACGGAAAGGCCCUGCUUUUUUGGUGUGCUCGAGUUGCUAACGGAUGAGUAACACGUGCGUAACCUGCCUUUGCCUUUGGGAUAACUUCAGGAAACUGAGGCUAAUUCCUGAUACGUGCUCCCUCUGCAUGGCAGCGGUUGUAAAUUUUCGGCGGCUGGGGCAGGUCUAGCGGCUUCUCAGCUUGUUGGUGGGGUAGUGUCUUACCAAGGCGUUGAAGGGUCGCCGGACUGAGAGGGUGACAGGCCACAUAGGGAUAGAGAAAGGGGCAAGACUCAUACGGGAGGAAGCAGUGGGAGAUAGUGGAAGAUGGGCGGAAGCCUGAAGCAGCAACGCCGCGUGGGAGAGGACGGCCUUCGGGGUGGAAACCGCUUUCGGCUGUGACGAAGAAUGAGUGACGGUAAUGGGUAAAGAAGCAACGGCUAACUACGUG